This is a long non-coding RNA of Drosophila ananassae, 695 nucleotides long. RefSeq lists it as uncharacterized. NCBI's taxonomy places the organism in Eukaryota, Metazoa, Arthropoda, Insecta, Diptera, Drosophilidae. The transcript has 2 exons. The record is from RefSeq and is a predicted model, not a curated record.
AAAUGGCCUUUGGGCCCUCUGACAUAACUGCGGGUCAGUCACUCGUCAGGGGACAGAACCUGGCCACCUGUGGGCAGCGAAAGAGACUGGAUUAGGGCCGGAGAGUGAGAAGGGCCUCCCAGGAAAAAGAAGAGGUGAUAGAGGGUGCAUCGCCGUUCCGCUUCAGAUGCACUUGAGAGCGGAAUGCUUUGCAUAAGAUACAAAAACCUGACCUAACCAACGCAGACUUCCGGUCUCUCGAAGCGCGUUGAAAGUCAGUAUCGCCCCUCUCUUUCUUUCUUGCAAUGGCCAUCUCUUUCCAUCCAUUGUUGAGCACUUCACACACAUACGAUAAUCAUUUCACAUUACGACCUGGAAAAUAGUGGGAAAAUAAUUAUUGGUCUACAAAUUUUCCUCCUUUAGACAAUAUCAUGCUGAUAAUUGUAUGUGUGCCCCCUUUUGAAAGGGAAGUUCAACUCGGGUCGCCAAGCAGUCAAGAGUUUCUUGAAGAGCCGCAAACUAAUGGCAGUUGCGUGUUUCUUGAUCCAAUCCCGAAUCAUUUACUUGUUGCAGGUUUCGGGACGCCUAGAUGGAUUUUUAAUGACAUUGAAGACCUGGAUACUAUUUGAUUGUCAAUAAAAAUUAUAGAAUCGGAUCACUGACCCUUAACUUGCUUUAUUAAACAAAGAAAAAUAAAUAAAUGUCUAAAAAUUGAA